ACUAGAAAAUAAAGAAAAAAAACCUUUUUGUGCAAGAGUCUUCUACGAGUAUGGAUUUCAACUCUCAAUGAAAGCACCAAUUUGUGGAUGCAAAUUUCUUCCUCCUCGAUCUUGGACGAUUUUGCACCUACAAAACAAUUAACACCUUAGGUUAAGGCCAAGAGCCUCACGCGCCCACGAUGAAUGAGGGGGGCUUUGGCCGAAGAACCUCUGAUGCCAAAGUUAGAAUUUAGAGAGAAAUAGUGUUUAGAGAAUUUUGGGAUUUUUGCCAAAGUAUUGGAAUUGGUUUUUUGGUGAGAAUGAGAGUAUAUUUAUAGGGAU
RNAcentral lists this long non-coding RNA (321 nucleotides) under Malus domestica (apple). RNAcentral describes it as "long non-coding RNA (MDOM_LNC007826)". The record is from RNAcentral. Lineage: Eukaryota; Viridiplantae; Streptophyta; Magnoliopsida; Rosales; Rosaceae.